GAUGAAGAACUUAGCGAAAUGCGAUAAGUAAUGUGAAUUGCAGAAUUCAGUGAAUCAUCGAAUCUUUGAACGCACAUUGCGCCCGCCAGUAUUCUGGCGGGCAUGCCUGUUCGAGCGUCAUUUCAACCAUCAAGCCCCAGGCUUGUGUUGGAGCCCUGCGGCUGCCGCAGCCUCCCAAAACCAGUGGCGGGCUCGCUAUCACACCGAGUGCAGUAGUUUACUCUUCGCUCAGGGCGUGUGGCGGGUGCUAGCCGUGAAACCCCCAACUUCUCAAGGUUGACCUCGGAUCAGGUAGGAAUACCCGCUGAACUUAAGCAUAUCAAUAAGCGGAGGA
This 334-nucleotide unclassified non-coding RNA is filed under the name soil metagenome. Its description in RNAcentral is "partial contains 5.8S ribosomal RNA, internal transcribed spacer 2, and large subunit ribosomal RNA". The stretch from base 1 to 120 matches the Rfam family "5.8S ribosomal RNA", at positions 35 to 154 of the family's 154-position model. The record is from RNAcentral.